RNAcentral lists this small RNA (202 nucleotides) under Thermobaculum terrenum ATCC BAA-798. Its description in RNAcentral is "6S RNA". The record is from RNAcentral. Lineage: Bacteria; Bacillati; Chloroflexota; Chloroflexia; Thermobaculales (SeqCode); Thermobaculaceae (SeqCode).
UAGCCCCUUCAGGAGUGCCGUUGUCGCUAGGGAUGUUCUGAACCAACACCCUAACUGAGGGAGCUGAUCGCUCGAGAACGUGCGUAGGCGCGAGGAGCCAUAAAAGGCUCGCCUAGCGGAAACGCUGAAAGUUCGAGAGGUAGGCACCCACCUGCGAGCUUGCAGGUUCAGGAACACGGUGGCGACGGCACUCGGGGUAUUU